UGCCAACUUAGUACCUGAAUGAAGCAUCCGAAUUUCCAAAAGCAAGGAAGAAAAUAGAUUCAGCUUCUUUGUAAUUGUCAUUUUGAUAUACAGAUUCUACAGAAAACAUUACAUCCUUCGAAGGUAAUGCUAGACUUUUUCCUUUUUCCCUUUUCCAUAAUUCAGGGAAGAAUUGAGAAUUGAUUAGGAAACCCAAUGUGGGUUGAACCCAUAGAACUGCAACAAGCUAAAACCAAACAGGAAGUCUUCCUUUUGUACUUGAUUAUGGCUAGAUGGAUUAUAAGAAUAUAUGGACAUGUUGGUUUUUGAAUUGAAGCUGCAGCUCCGUGGAUAAAAAGAA
Molecule: unclassified non-coding RNA, 340 nt
Filed under: Hevea brasiliensis (rubber tree)
Lineage: Eukaryota; Viridiplantae; Streptophyta; Magnoliopsida; Malpighiales; Euphorbiaceae
Source: RNAcentral